This 472-nucleotide ribosomal RNA is filed under the name uncultured bacterium. Its description in RNAcentral is "partial 16S ribosomal RNA". It matches the Rfam family "Bacterial small subunit ribosomal RNA", at positions 28 to 507 of the family's 1533-position model. The record is from RNAcentral.
GACGAACGCUGGCGGCGUGCUUAACACAUGCAAGUCGAACGCUGAAGCUUGGUGCUUGCACUGGGUGGAUGAGUGGCGAACGGGUGAGUAAUACGUGAGUAACCUGCCCUUGACUCUGGGAUAAGCCUGGGAAACUGGGCCUAAUACUGGAUACGACAUGUCACCGCAUGGUGGUGUGUGGAAAGGGUUUUACUGGUUUUGGAUGGGCUCACGGCCUAUCAGCUUGUUGGUGGGGUAAUGGCUCACCAAGGCGACGACGGGUAGCCGGCCUGAGAGGGUGACCGGCCACACUGGGACUGAGACACGGCCCAGACUCCUACGGGAGGCAGCAGUGGGGAAUAUUGCACAAUGGGCGGAAGCCUGAUGCAGCGACGCCGCGUGAGGGAUGACGGCCUUCGGGUUGUAAACCUCUUUCAGCACGGAAGAAGCGAAAGUGACGGUACGUGCAGAAGAAGCGCCGGCUAACUACGUG